RNAcentral lists this long non-coding RNA (954 nucleotides) under Ananas comosus (pineapple). RNAcentral's name for it is "long non-coding RNA (ACOM_LNC009942)". Lineage: Eukaryota; Viridiplantae; Streptophyta; Magnoliopsida; Poales; Bromeliaceae. The record is from RNAcentral.
AAUGAAAGACAUUCCAACUCUUUUUUAUAAUAUUUAUUAUAAAAAGCUCCUAAAAAAUAUUUUGUCUGUUUUCCAACAAUUCACAAAUAAAUUUUUAUAUAUAGAGAGAGAGAGAGCACCAAGUGCUUGGUGCUAUCGAGUUUUCUAUCGUUAGAUUUAACUCUUUGACUAUUUUCACUCGUUAGACUAUAUUAUUCAACCAACAACUUACUCAACCUUAAAGAGUCCACAUUAUCCUAACCGUACAUUUCUUCAUCCAAGGGCCGAAAACCUAAUAGCACCGAUAGCUUGGUGCUAUCUGCUAUUAGUAGUAUUCCAUACUAGUAUAUAUAUAUAUAUAUAUAUAUAUAUAUAUAUAUAUAUAGAGUAGGGCUACUAUACUCUUAUGAGUAGUGGACCCUUACUACUCAUAAGUUGUUUUCGAUGAUGGAGCUUCCGAAUCGACGAUCCACUCCGUUAAAUAUGAUCUAGAGCAUUUAAAACUUCUAGAAAUUAAAUUUCAUAAUUUUUCGACAUCAUUUACCCUAUGAUCAAAAGCUCACAAAAUUGAUAAUUUUUAACGGCCGGUAUGGGAUACUUGCUAGUUUAACGGUGGAAAAGAAUCGGAAUAGGUUGAAUUUUUGAUAGAAAAUUCUAUUCACUACCUAGAUAAAGAUCAAUAACUCCGAUCUUAAAUUGAGGGAUCCGAUCAUCCAUUUUUAGGACGUCGUUCGAUUUUGACCGUUCAUUUUAUGCCCGCUUGAUGGACUUUAUUAUGAUUUCGAAAAAUUACGAAAUUUAUUUUCUAGAAGUUUCAAAUACUCUAGAUCAUAUUUAACGGAGUGGAUCGUCGAUUCGGAAGCUCUAUCAUCGAAAACAACUUAUGAGUAGUAAGGGUCCACUACUCAUAAGAGUAUAGUAGCCCUACUCUAUCUAUAUAUAUAUAUCGAUCAGCGCGCGAUGAAACUUUAUAAC